GCCUCGUUGGCGCAGUAGGCAGCGCGUCAGUCUCAUAAUCUGAAGGUUGUGAGUUUGAGUCUCACACGGGGCA
Danio rerio (zebrafish) is the source of this 73-nucleotide non-coding RNA. NCBI's taxonomy places the organism in Eukaryota, Metazoa, Chordata, Actinopteri, Cypriniformes, Danionidae. The record is from Rfam.